UAAUAUUUUGAAAUUUAUAUUUUAGUAAAAAAGCUAAAAUUAUUUAUAGGGACGAGAAGACCCUAUCAAGUUUUACAAUUAAAAAUUUAUUUUCAAAUUAAACUUAAAAUUGUUUUGCUGGGGCAGCAAAUAAAAAUUUUUUAUUUUUAAAUUAUGAUGAAUAAAUCUUGAAAAAUCAAAAAAUUUUUAAUCAAAAAUAAAUUACUGUAGGGAUAACAGCAUAAUUUUUUUAGAGAGUUCUUAUCAUCAAAAAAGUUUGUGACCUCGAUGUUGGAUUAAA
This 280-nucleotide ribosomal RNA is filed under the name Paravaejovis puritanus. RNAcentral's name for it is "partial 16S ribosomal RNA". Lineage: Eukaryota; Metazoa; Arthropoda; Arachnida; Scorpiones; Vaejovidae. The record is from RNAcentral.